Molecule: ribosomal RNA, 302 nt
Filed under: uncultured microorganism
Description: bacterial SSU rRNA
Rfam family: Bacterial small subunit ribosomal RNA
Source: RNAcentral
GUGCCAGCAGCCGCGGUAAUACGGAGGGUGCGAGCGUUAAUCGGAAUUACUUGGAUUUCUGGGGCGUAAAGCGCGCGUAAGUGGCUUGGCACGCCGGUUGUGAAAGCCCCGGGCUCAACCUGGGAACGGCAUCCGGAACGGCCAGGCUAGAGUGCAGGAAAGGAAGGUAGAAUUCCCGGUGUAGCGGUGAAAUGCGUAAAGAUCGGGAGGAAUACCAGUGGCGAAGGCGGCCUUCUGGCCUGACACUGACACUGAGGUGCGAAAGCGUGGGUAGCAAACAGGAUUAGAUACCCUGGUAGUCC